RNAcentral lists this ribosomal RNA (977 nucleotides) under Haemonchus contortus (barber pole worm). Its description in RNAcentral is "SSU rRNA". It matches the Rfam family "Eukaryotic small subunit ribosomal RNA", at positions 578 to 1602 of the family's 1831-position model. Lineage: Eukaryota; Metazoa; Nematoda; Chromadorea; Rhabditida; Trichostrongylidae. The record is from RNAcentral.
GGUAAUUCCAGCUCCACUAGUGUAAAUCGUCAUUGCUGCGGUUAAAAAGCUCGUAGUUGGAUCUGAGUUACAUGCAGUGAUUCGCCUUUGGCGUUAAUCGCUGUUGUAACUAUUUGCUGGUUUUCUAUUGAGGUUUCGGCUUCUUUAGUGGCUAGCGAGUUUACUUUGAAUAAAUUAGAGUGCUCAGAACAAGCGUUUGCUUGAAUGGUCGAUCAUGGAAUAAUAAAAGAGGACUUCGGUUCUAUUUAUUGGUUCAGGAACUGAAAUAAUGGUUAAGAGGGACAAUUCGGGGGCAUUCGUAUCCCUGCGCGAGAGGUGAAAUUCGUGGACCGCAGGGGGACGCCCUAAAGCGAAAGCAUUUGCCAAGAAUGUCUUCAUUAAUCAAGAACGAAAGUCAGAGGUUCGAAGGCGAUUAGAUACCGCCCUAGUUCUGACCGUAAACUAUGCCAUCUAGCGAUCCGAUGGGGUAUAGUUGCCUUGUCGAGGAGCUUCCCGGAAACGAAAGUCUUUCGGUUCCUGGGGUAGUAUGGUUGCAAAGCUGAAACUUAAAGAAAUUGACGGAAUGGCACCACCAGGAGUGGAGCCUGCGGCUUAAUUUGACUCAACACGGGAAAACUCACCCGGCCCGGACACCGUAAGGAUUGACAGAUUGAAAGCUCUUUCUCGAUUUGGUGGUUGGUGGUGCAUGGCCGUUCUUAGUUGGUGGAGCGAUUUGUCUGGUUUAUUCCGAUAACGAGCGAGACUCUAGCCUGCUAAAUAGUGGCUGGAUUUUUGAGUCCAGUCUACUUCUUAGAGGGAUAAGCGGUGUUUAGCCGCACGAGAUUGAGCGAUAACAGGUCUGUGAUGCCCUUAGAUGUCCGGGGCUGCACGCGCGCUACAAUGGAAGAAUCAGCUGGCCUAUCCAUUGCCGAAAGGCAUUGGUAAACCGUUGAAACUCUUCCGUGACCGGGAUAGGGAAUUGUAAUUAUUUCCCUUGA